Molecule: unclassified non-coding RNA, 253 nt
Filed under: uncultured Chitinophagales bacterium
Lineage: Bacteria; Pseudomonadati; Bacteroidota; Chitinophagia; Chitinophagales
Description: contains 16S-23S intergenic spacer region
Rfam family: Bacterial small subunit ribosomal RNA
Source: RNAcentral
UACGGAGGGUGCAAGCGUUGUCCGGAUUUAUUGGGUUUAAAGGGUGCGUAGGCGGAUUUCCAAGUCAGAGGGGAAAGCCCGGGGCUCAACUCCGGAAUUGCCUUUGAUACUGGUUGUCUUGAAUAUAGUUGAGGUAGGCGGAAAGAGUCGUGUAGCGGUGAAAUGCAUAGAUAUGACUCAGAACACCGAUUGCGAAGGCAGCUUACUAAACUAUUAUUGACGCUGAGGCACGAAAGCGUGGGGAGCAAACAGG